GCCGCCCGCGACUCUGCGAGAAGUCCAUUGAACCUUAUCAUUUAGAGGAAGGAGAAGUCGUAACAAGGUUUCCGUAGGUGAACCUGCGGAAGGAUCAUUG
This 100-nucleotide ribosomal RNA is filed under the name Laelia lyonsii. RNAcentral's name for it is "partial 18S ribosomal RNA". It matches the Rfam family "Eukaryotic small subunit ribosomal RNA", at positions 1732 to 1831 of the family's 1831-position model. The record is from RNAcentral. Lineage: Eukaryota; Viridiplantae; Streptophyta; Magnoliopsida; Asparagales; Orchidaceae.